Molecule: long non-coding RNA, 795 nt
Organism: Heteronotia binoei (common prickly gecko)
Lineage: Eukaryota; Metazoa; Chordata; Lepidosauria; Squamata; Gekkonidae
Exons: 3
Source: RefSeq, a predicted model, not a curated record
CAGGGAUGGUGACUGACAGGAAGCAAGAGGGAAUGCCUUGGCUCUUUAUAGCCAUCAGCUGCUUUGCUAGAGCCUGGGAAAUCGCAUAGGGAAGGGCCUGCAGCAGAAAUCAAGAGCUCCUGCCUGUUUUUUUCUCUAUCGGAGGCUUCCACAAGCAUGCCUUGGAGAAAUCAGAGUGUGCAGCAAAAAGCACAGUAAUGCUCCUCAGUGAUCAUAGAUGUCUCCUCAGUGGGCCCUCAGAGUUAGAAACUGCUCGGGCCAAGCAGCCGCAAGGGCUUAGGAGAAGAGGCUGCCUCACCUGAGGAGGCCGAGGUGCAUCUCUGCAUGGAGAAAAAGCAGUUUGGAUUCCAGAAGAGGCAGAGAAAGGAGAAGCAGAGAGAUCCUGCUGUGGGUUGGAUUGGGGAAAAAAAACAACCUGUGGGCCUUGCAUCUCUCUCUUUCCGGAGAUCUAACGCAGGGCCAUGGAUCUACCACAAAGGAGGAGUGCCGCUGCGCCUUCAUUUGUGCUUUAUCUGUCAUUGGGCUUUUCCCCAUUCUGGUUUUCCUCAGUUUAAGAAGUUGGCUGGUGGCCAUCAGAUACAUGGAUCUACAUGCCUGAGACUGGAACAUCAUAUUGCAUGUAUUGCAAGUAUAACUAAAUGCGAUUUGAGUCCAUAACUACCUCUGGACAGGACACGAACACAGGUUUCCAUAAUAUGGUCUUUAAAGACCUUCUGGACUUAAAUAUCAUUCCUUUCCUGAAGACUCACCUGGUUACCCACCUGAUACGAUCUAAAUAAAGGUGUCUUGCCUGGA